This 458-nucleotide ribosomal RNA is filed under the name uncultured bacterium. RNAcentral describes it as "partial 16S ribosomal RNA". It matches the Rfam family "Bacterial small subunit ribosomal RNA", at positions 338 to 795 of the family's 1533-position model. The record is from RNAcentral.
CCUACGGGUGGCAGCAGUGAGGAAUAUUGGUCAAUGGGCGAGAGCCUGAACCAGCCAAGUCGCGUGAGGGAGUACUGCCCUAUGGGUUGUAAACCUCUUUUGUCGGGGAGCAAAAGCCGGACGUGUCCGGCUGUGAGAGUACCCGAAGAAAAAGCAUCGGCUAACUCCGUGCCAGCAGCCGCGGUAAUACGGAGGAUGCGGGCGUUAUCCGGAUUUAUUGGGUUUAAAGGGUGCGCAGGCGGAUUUUUAAGUCAGCGGUAAAAUCGUGGGGCUCAACCCCAUCCAGCCGUUGAAACUGGGGAUCUAGAGUGUGCGAGAGGUAGGCGGAAUGCGUGGUGUAGCGGUGAAAUGCAUAGAUGUCACGCAGAACCCCGAUUGCGAAGGCAGCAUACCGGUGCACAACUGACGCUCAGGCACGAAAGCGUGGGUAUCGAACAGGAUUAGAUACCCGGGUAGUC